UCUCUAUUCGUAUUGAACUGUAGAAAGUACCACUGCUAGUGGCUAACUACUGAAGUAAAGAUAACUUUCUAUAAUGUAUAAAUCUAAUGGUAUGCAGGUAGUUGUCUUGGUUUAGAUGUGUUUAAAAGGUAGUGUAAAGGAUACACUGCUUUAAAGUUGAUUCACUGUUGUGGAGUGCAAAUACAAACUUGUCUAUACAGCUUCUCGGUUGCACUCUUUGGAAAUCAUAUAAUCAUGGUUCUGUUUUACAUUGGAACUGAUUGCAAGUGAAUAAGUUUCUGGAAGGACUUGGAGAAGCUGUCAUAUGCUUGGUCUCUAUGUGGUUUUACAAGUUUAGCCUUGUUGUAUUUUGUUUGUGUUUUCUAAUUCUAACACAAGUUAAUUCUUUUAUCGGUAAUAUUGGCACGGGAAAUUUUGUGUGGAUAAAUAACUUUAUUACUCAUCUUAAUGAUUUUUAUCUUUCUCAUCUAACAGUUACUCCAUACUUUUAUCUUAUUUUAGGUUGAUAUGAAUCCAUCAAAAUUUCAGAAGUCUGAAAUGGGAGCAACUUCAAAGAAUGUACAUCAUGCAUAUAUUCAACCUGGUGCUUUAGCAAGGGGAAGAGGACACAACUUUGGAUCUUUGGGCUCUGUAAAAACAAGUAUUGGAAAGAGAACUCUGAUUGGAGAAAAUAAAAAUCAUAAUUCAACAGCUUUUGAGCAGAAUAAGCUUGCACAUACUAAUAAUCUUAUGCCCCCUGAUUUUGCUUCGAUGGAAGAUGAUGCUCCCCUCGCUCAAGACCCUGAAGCGAUACAAGGUCUCUUAAGUUAUAAUUUUUUGUUUUGUUUUGUAUCUUAUUGGAUUGGUAUUGGUUUUAUGUUUCACAUAAAUCAAAAUUUGUAGAAACAGGAGCAGCUUGAAGAAUAUACAUCAUGUAUACAUUCAACCUGCGACUUUAGCAAGGGGACGAGAGAAAAGCUUUCGAUCUUUGGGCUCUGCAAAAAUAAAUAUUUUUUAAAAAAAUCUGAUUGGCGAGAUUAAAAAUUACAAUUCAAGGGCUUCUAAGCAGAAUAAGCUAGCACACAGUUGUAAUAAUCUCAUGCCUCCUGGUUUUGAUACGAUGGAAGACGACAUUCUUCACUCAAGAAGCUGAAACAUGCAAGAAGUUGGAGCUAUUUUGAAGAAUGUACGAGACACUUACAGUCAACCUAGUGUUUUAGCAAGGGGAUGUGGGCAAAACUUAAGAUCUUCGGGCUCGGCAAAAGGAAGCGUUGGAAAGAAAAAUCUGGUUGGCGAAAGUAAAAAUCAUAACUCAACAGCUUCUGAGCAGAAUAAAUAGCGCAUAAUAGUACUAAUCUUAUGCCUCUUAGUUUCGAUCCGAUGGAAGAUGAUGUUUCCCUCGCUCAAGAAGAUGAAAUGAUGCAAGAUUUAUGUGAACCUGAAAAGCCGAAAAAGGUGAGAGGAAAGAACAAGAAUAAAGAUGUAGCAGGACUCAAACCCGGAGAAAAGUUUAGAGUUAACUUUUACAACAAUCGGGUUGUGGGAAAGCAUCAAACCUCAUUUUCGAGACACUUGGGUAUAUUAGUUCGUGAUCGUAAUAUGUGUCCGUUGCAAGUACAUUCAUGGAAGGACAUCGGAGAAGAUAAGCCGGAACACAUGUGGCGAGCUGUUACAGACAAAUUUGACAGUGAUGACACGAAUCAUCAAAGAGAUCAUGUCUUAAACCAUAUGAAAAAGUUAUGGACCAAUUGGAGAGGAUCAUUGCCCAGGAUGUAAAGUUUAAGCCAUUGCAUGAAGCUCUAAAAAAUGUUCCGAAGGAGAUAGACAAGAGUGAUUGGGAAUGGUUAGUCAAAGAACAUUUUUUAAGUGAAAAAUUUAAGGAAACAAGUAUUAAAAACUCGAUCAAUAGGUCUAAGUUGAGAAUGCCUCAUCGUACGGGUAGCAAGCCGAUUAGAGAAAUUAUUUACGAACUGGCUGAAAUACAAGAGCUGGUACAAUUUGAGCCAUCUCUUACAAAUAUCGAGGUAAUAGAAAGGUAUUUCGGACCUCAAAACAAGAGUCAUGUGGUUGGAUUAGGGUGUGGUAUAACCACUAAGGAGUUGAAAGGUGGUAGCUCCUCAAAGGCUGCAAUCUUGAUUGAGCUAAAUGCAACUCGAAAAGAAAAAGAAUCACUACAAACAGAGCUGAAUGCAACUAAAAAAGCAAAAGACUCUCUGGAAAAACGUAUGGACGACUUUGAGUCUAAGUAUGAUCAUCUUAUAAGCUUAUUGGUUGAUCAACCUUCAUCAGCACCAUCUACAAGUCAACAAAGUACAAGUUGAAGUAUUUGACAGAUAAAGGGCCUGAAAUUUGAAGAAUUAUCCUUUAAGAGAGUUUCGAGCAAGUUGAAGCAUGUGGAAUUGUUCAAGAACAAGGGAAAUCUAUUUUGUUUUAUUAGGAGUUGUAGUCGUCAUCUGUACAAACUACUAUUUCGCUUUCUCUUUAGUUUUCUGUUUUCUUUAAGGAAUUGAAACAAAAGGAUCAUGCAAUUUGGACGCAA
Molecule: non-coding RNA, 2518 nt
Organism: Nicotiana tabacum (common tobacco)
Lineage: Eukaryota; Viridiplantae; Streptophyta; Magnoliopsida; Solanales; Solanaceae
Source: RefSeq, a predicted model, not a curated record